This 254-nucleotide ribosomal RNA is filed under the name uncultured bacterium. RNAcentral's name for it is "partial 16S ribosomal RNA". It matches the Rfam family "Bacterial small subunit ribosomal RNA", at positions 524 to 776 of the family's 1533-position model. The record is from RNAcentral.
UACGAAGGGGGCUAGCGUUGCUCGGAAUCACUGGGCAUAAAGCGCACGUAGGCGGGUUGCCAAGUCGGGGGUGAAAUCCUGGAGCUCAACUCCAGAACUGCCUUCGAUACUGGCGAUCUUGGAGUCCGGGAGAGGUGAGUGGUACUGCGAGUGUAGAGGUGAAAUUCGUAGAUAUUCGCAAGAACACCAGUGGCGAAGGCGGCUCACUGGCCCGGUACUGACGCUCAGGCGCGACAGCGUGGGGAGCAAACAGG